AGCUAUUUAUCUUUUUGGAAAGAAAAUGUUUUGAAAGCAUUCUAAAGAAGUUCAAAUCUUCUAAUAGCUU
Molecule: transfer RNA, 70 nt
Filed under: Palaemon capensis
Lineage: Eukaryota; Metazoa; Arthropoda; Malacostraca; Decapoda; Palaemonidae
Description: tRNA-Ser
Rfam family: tRNA
About the family: Transfer RNA (tRNA) molecules are approximately 80 nucleotides in length. Their secondary structure includes four short double-helical elements and three loops (D, anti-codon, and T loops).
Source: RNAcentral